This 288-nucleotide long non-coding RNA is filed under the name Mytilus galloprovincialis (Mediterranean mussel). The record is from RNAcentral. Lineage: Eukaryota; Metazoa; Mollusca; Bivalvia; Mytilida; Mytilidae.
UGAAGUUGAAGUCCAAUCAACUUGAAACUUAGUACACAUGUUCCUUCUGAUAUGAUCUUUCUAAUUUUAAAGCCAAAUUAAACUUUUGACCCCAAUUUCACGGUCCACUGAACAUAGAAAAUGAAAGUGCAUGUUUCAGGUUAAAGUUUUUCAGGUUAAAGUUUUUGGUCAAGGUAGUUUUUGAUGAAGUUGAAGUCCAAUCAACUUGAAACUUAGUACACAUGUUCCUUAUGAUAUGAUCUUUCUAAUUUUAAAGCCAAAUUAAACUUUGACCCCAAUUUCACGGUC